Small nuclear RNA from Scatophagus argus, 161 nucleotides. RefSeq annotates it as U1 spliceosomal RNA. The transcript has a single exon. Lineage: Eukaryota; Metazoa; Chordata; Actinopteri; Scatophagidae. The record is from RefSeq and is a predicted model, not a curated record.
UUACUUACCUGGCAGGAGAGAUACCAUGAUCCCGAAGGUUCACCCUGGGCGAGACUCGGCAAUUACACUCCGGUCGUGCUGACCCCUGCGAAUUCCCCAAAUGUGGGAAUCUCAGCUGCAUAACUUGUGGUAGUGGGGGGGCGCGUUCUUGCUCUCCCCUG